Molecule: long non-coding RNA, 1546 nt
Organism: Brienomyrus brachyistius
Lineage: Eukaryota; Metazoa; Chordata; Actinopteri; Osteoglossiformes; Mormyridae
Exons: 5
Source: RefSeq, a predicted model, not a curated record
GCCAGUUCGUCCCCUGCCCACAUGUAAUGCCCAAAAUUUUGUAUAAAGGAAGGGGGAGAUCUCAGAGUUGGUUAGAGCUCAGCCGUGGGAUAGAGCGCGCAUCACCCGGCACUUUCUCGGGACUUACGUGUUGGUCUCCUGCCAGGACUGAAAAGGGCCCCCCAGUCUAAGAGUGAGGCAUCAGCGGAUCCCAUCCGGCAGAGUUUCUUCCUUCUUGGCAUCAGAAGCAGUCUCACCGAUUGAGAAGGGGGCGAUCAUCUUGGAGCAUCUUUAGUAAUCAACUCAUUUCAACUUGCUGUAGUGGCCAGUGUAAACAGAACCAGACAUGCUCUUGUUUAUUGUGGACUGGCAAAGGUUUUGAACAAAAAUGAUACAUAAUGGAUCAGCUAGAAGCUGUCUGUCUGUCCUGAUGUUACCUCCCUCCAAUUCCAAGUGCACACAACCCGAAUUCCCAGGACAGUGUUGACCUCUGCCUUGUGUGACAGCAUGCUUAGGGCUCACAGCAAAGGGGCCUGUGGAGGUUAAGGGCCAUGCUCAAGGGCCCAUGGACACGUGAUUACUCAACCAACACCAGGCUUGAAUGGGUCACCUUUUGGUUACAGGCACAGAGGCUUUGCCUGCUGAGCCACAAAUCACCCUCUUCAAGUUGCUCUAUGCUAUUUCUAUGGGUAUAUCAGUAAGGGACACAAACCUGUAUUCGUUUCCAUGCAGAGAUGGGUAAAACAAAAGUCCAGACCAAGAUUUUGUUUCAACCAACCAGUUGAGUACUUUUCAUUGAAUCUUUAUGCUCAAAUAGUUGGUUGUAAGAAAAUCUUAGUCUGGACUUUUGCUUUCUGGACCUGCACUACCCAUCUCUGCAUGACCUAAAUUACCAACCAUGCAAGAUGUGACUGUCAUUCUGGAUUCUGUUUCAUUACUGUAAUAAUAUUCAAAGAGAUCUCCAUGAAUGAUUUCGAGCCAGGAAUGUAUGAGUUGGAUUUUUGUUUGACAACAUUGGGGCGAAUGAUGCUGAGCGUCUUCUCUCUUAAGGCUGAUACUGUAUUAUACGCCUGAAAUGAGGUUAAGUUCAGGAACUCCUGCUAUGGUGAGCAACCCUCAUUACUAGAUUGCUCUUCAUUCUUUCAUACUGCAGUCCCUUUCCUUCACACAAGGGAGGUUGCUGUCUCUCUAGAUCAUUUCAUCCAGGGACUUCAGACGACACAUGUAAAUGAGUGACAUUAGCAUACUGCAUCCUCUGCACAAAGGGUGAUGGCGGGUCGCCGAAUGUUAAUAUCACUCCUUAACUAAUGCCAAAGUUAAUUAUGCCCUUGAAUGGACUUUUCGGUCCUGAAUACAAAAGGAUACAACUGACAACUUUUUUUUUUUUAAUAAAUUCCUAUAUAUCUAUACCAUUAUAGCUUAACUACCUUAACAAAUAAAAAUCACCUUUUGUGGUGGUUAUUUCUUUCUUUUAAGAAAUGUAACACCUGAACAGGGAAUGUAGGAGGUGAAAUUCAAAGGGUUGAUUUAUAUUUAUAAAUAUAUUAUCAGGUAAUGUCAUGGUUUU